RNAcentral lists this ribosomal RNA (450 nucleotides) under uncultured bacterium. RNAcentral's name for it is "partial 16S ribosomal RNA". It matches the Rfam family "Bacterial small subunit ribosomal RNA", at positions 354 to 796 of the family's 1533-position model. The record is from RNAcentral.
GUGGGGAAUUUUGGACAAUGGGCGAAAGCCUGAUCCAGCAAUGCCGCGUGUGUGAAGAAGGCCUUCGGGUUGUAAAGCACUUUUGGCAGGGAAGAAACAGUGCGUGCUAAUACCAUGCGCGAAUGACGGUACCUGCAGAAUAAGCACCGGCUAACUACGUGCCAGCAGCCGCGGUAAUUCGUAGGGUGCAAGCGUUAAUCGGAAUUACUGGGCGUAAAGCGUGCGCAGGCGGCUUUGUAAGACGGAUGUGAAAGCCCCGGGCUCAACCUGGGAAUUGCAUUCGUGACGGGAAGGCUAGAGGUUGUCGGAGGGAGGUGGAAUUCCGAGUGUAGCAGUGAAAUGCGUAGAGAUGCGGAGGAACACCGAUGGCGAAGGCAGCCUCCUGGGAUAACACUGACGCUCAGGCACGAAAGCGUGGGGAGCAAACAGGAUUAGAAACCCUUGUAGUCC